AUGGGCUUCAGCUCUUCCGAGGACAUGCAGUUCACGCUCCUCGGCCGCCGCAUGGACAAGAUCCUCGGCAUGGACUGCAAGGGCCGCGGCAUCAUCUACGAGGACGACACGCACGCGGUCCGCCCGAUGCCCAGCAUGACGGCGCCCGAGCGUUACCGACCCUUGUCCAUCGCCGUAGACGGCGUCGGCCCCGAGGGCGAGGGAAGCCUGUACGUCAUCGAGGCGGAGCCGACGCGCGACAUCCCGGACCAGCCACAGUCCGUCGAGGCGCUCGUGUACGAAGGCGGGCGCUCCUGUAACGAGAAUGAUGACUGGGUAUGGCGCUCGCUCCCGCCGCCGCCGUACGUGCACGAAUUGCCAGGCCUGGGCACGGACGAACGGUCCGGCGAGAUCAUCUGCCACGGGAUGGAGGGCAACCGCGUGGUCAACGGCUCCCUGGUCUGGGUGUCCACGGCGGGCCGCGGCACGUACUGGCUGGACACAGGGAGCGGCAUGUGGAGCAAGGCCAGCGACUGGGCGCUGCCGUUCCAGGGACGCGCGUCGCCUGUCUGGGAGUACGGCCUCUGGUUCGGCUUCUCGGCCGUAGACAGCGGCCACAUCUGCGCCACCAACCUGUACCUCUCCGUCGAGGAGAACCGGCAGCCGGUGGCGGAGCAGGUGUUGGAGGGAUUCGCGGUGCCGGAGGGGUGCCGCGAGAUGGGGUCGUACCUCAUGUACCUGGGCAACUUCCGGUUCUGCGUCGCCAAGCUCUUCAGGAUGACGACCCGCCGCCAAGGCAGGGGCUGCUGCUGCUGCUGGGAUGUCCCCAAGGAGAAGUGCUUCGCAACGCUCACCGGCGUGGAGGUUGUGCGCGGCGACCACGCCGGCAAAUGGCACCACAUGAUGAAACACAGAUCACUCCAGUACUACUUAGGCGAAUACUUCUCCGGCUGUGUACUCUAG
RNAcentral lists this ribosomal RNA (942 nucleotides) under Triticum aestivum (bread wheat). RNAcentral describes it as "partial small subunit ribosomal RNA". Lineage: Eukaryota; Viridiplantae; Streptophyta; Magnoliopsida; Poales; Poaceae. The record is from RNAcentral.